GCUGCCAGACCUGCCAAGCUUUUCCAGAAACUUCUGUUUUUGUUCCCGAUUUACAGCAUCCACAGUUCUUCAUUUUGUUAAAAAUGAAGGCUUUUUUGCAGACACAAUGUAGAUGUAGCAGGGACCAGAUGAACUGCUUUACAAUCAAGGAGUUCAGUUGGGAAAAAAAAAAGAAGAGGAGGAGGAGGAACCAAAGUGUGUUGGCACAGAAAAGCAAGUUGAAAGGAUAUCCUGGCAUCUGAGGCAAUUCGAAAAAGAUCCCUGGGACAAAGAUCUUGACUUAUGGAGGACAGCUAAACAAGCAAGGAGAUCCUGACUGGAAUGUGGCAGUGAUGCCAAUACCAUGAAACACAACUGAGAUCAAAGAAUUAGGAUACAGUCCUGCAGUUCAGCCCAUUGGUCACACCUUCAAUGUGAAGUAAACACAGCACAGGUUAAUGAACAGACUAUGUACAUUUAGCAGAAAGCACUUUUGAAGCUGGUGCUUCAACCAUUCUAUUUGACUUGACAAGGCAGGAUUAGUUGCUCUUUUCAUGCCAAUGCCUCUAAAAUUACAUAUUGAAAGCAACACUUACCAUCUCGCAAAAAGGUGUCAGCAAAGUAAAGGCAG
Molecule: long non-coding RNA, 610 nt
Organism: Rhincodon typus (whale shark)
Lineage: Eukaryota; Metazoa; Chordata; Chondrichthyes; Orectolobiformes; Rhincodontidae
Exons: 4
Source: RefSeq, a predicted model, not a curated record